This 466-nucleotide ribosomal RNA is filed under the name uncultured bacterium. RNAcentral describes it as "partial 16S ribosomal RNA". It matches the Rfam family "Bacterial small subunit ribosomal RNA", at positions 28 to 507 of the family's 1533-position model. The record is from RNAcentral.
GAUGAACGCUGGCGGCGUGCUUAACACAUGCAAGUCGAACGAUGAAGCCCAGCUUGCUGGGUGGAUUAGUGGCGAACGGGUGAGUAACACGUGAGUAACCUGCCCUUAACUCUGGGAUAAGCCUGGGAAACUGGGUCUAAUACCGGAUAGGAGCGUCCACCGCAUGGUGGGUGUUGGAAAGAUUUAUCGGUUUUGGAUGGACUCGCGGCCUAUCAGCUUGUUGGUGAGGUAAUGGCUCACCAAGGCGACGACGGGUAGCCGGCCUGAGAGGGUGACCGGCCACACGGGGACUGAGACACGGCCCAGACUGCUACGGGAGGCAGCAGUGGGGAAUAUUGCACAAUGGGCGCAAGCCUGAUGCAGCGACGCCGCGUGAGGGAUGACGGCCUUCGGGUUGUAAACCUCUUUCAGUAGGGAAGAAGCGAAAGUGACGGUACCUGCAGAAGAAGCACCGGCUAACUACGUG